UUAAUUGAAACCAAAAAGAGGUAUACCACUGUUAAUGGUACUAAUGGAAUAAUCCCCGAUUAAA
Molecule: transfer RNA, 64 nt
Filed under: Cucujoidea sp. 46 KM-2017
Lineage: Eukaryota; Metazoa; Arthropoda; Insecta; Coleoptera
Description: tRNA-Asn
Source: RNAcentral